GGGAUAGUAGUUUAACUUGGCUAGAGCAGUCGGCUCCAACCCGACAGAUCGGGGUUCAAAUCCCUGCUAUCCCA
RNAcentral lists this transfer RNA (74 nucleotides) under archaeon. RNAcentral's name for it is "tRNA-Trp". It matches the Rfam family "tRNA". Rfam says of the family: Transfer RNA (tRNA) molecules are approximately 80 nucleotides in length. Their secondary structure includes four short double-helical elements and three loops (D, anti-codon, and T loops). The record is from RNAcentral.